UCUAGAGAUGAGAAAUCUGGGUUUGGAGAACAGUGUGUCCUGGCCACACGGGCCAGUGAACCCGCCCACGAUACCCCUGCCUGUUCGUGGACGGGCUGGCCUCCCUGACGACGAACCCUGCCUCCAGGGGCACAGUUCAACCUGAGCCCCUGGGUUGCAGCCCUCCAUGCUACCCCCGCCCCCGCCGCCCACUUUAAGGGGGGCAUAACCAGUGACCCACAAAAGGAUGGCAGUGCCUGGUCUUGUGCCUUGCGCUUGCCAGAAUCUUCUUCCUGACAGCUCUGAGCCCUACAGGGACCAGCGUCCUUACAGCAGGCAGGGCGUUGCUGAGAUCUACAGGCCUCCGGAGGCCCUCCCUGCCUCUCACCUCACGCCGGAUGGAGGUUACUACUUGGCCAAACGAAGCAUUGACAGCUCAUAGAUGCUGGCCUUGACCCUGUGCAGAAAAAGACCCAGGAAAGGGUUCCUUUGUCCAACAUUCGUGAAGAACGAGCCAGCAGCUGUCAUCGGCACCCGGUUGGCUGGCACGUCCAUGUGGUGAAGCGACAGCGACGGUGCUCACCCCAGGACGGAGAGGUGGUGACUCAGGACAACUUGCCCCGUUCCCCAGGCGCGCCCAGCCAGCGCUGCAGCCAC
This is a non-coding RNA of Sus scrofa (pig), 636 nucleotides long. Lineage: Eukaryota; Metazoa; Chordata; Mammalia; Artiodactyla; Suidae. The record is from RefSeq and is a predicted model, not a curated record.